Molecule: ribosomal RNA, 465 nt
Filed under: Vreelandella stevensii
Lineage: Bacteria; Pseudomonadati; Pseudomonadota; Gammaproteobacteria; Oceanospirillales; Halomonadaceae
Description: partial 16S ribosomal RNA
Rfam family: Bacterial small subunit ribosomal RNA
Source: RNAcentral
CCUACGGGUGGCAGCAGUGGGGAAUAUUGGACAAUGGGCGAAAGCCUGAUCCAGCCAUGCCGCGUGUGUGAAGAAGGCCUUCGGGUUGUAAAGCACUUUCAGUGGGGAAGAAAGCCUUGGGGCUAAUACCCUCGAGGAAGGACAUCACCCACAGAAGAAGCACCGGCUAACUCCGUGCCAGCAGCCGCGGUAAUACGGAGGGUGCGAGCGUUAAUCGGAAUUACUGGGCGUAAAGCGCGCGUAGGCGGUCUGAUAAGCCGGUUGUGAAAGCCCCGGGCUCAACCUGGGAACGGCAUCCGGAACUGGCAGGCUAGAGUGCAGGAGAGGAAGGUAGAAUUCCCGGUGUAGCGGUGAAAGGCGUAGAGAUCGGGAGGAAUACCAGUGGCGAAGGCGGCCUUCUGGACUGACACUGACGCUGAGGUGCGAAAGCGUGGGUAGCAAACAGGAUUAGAUACCCUGGUAGUC